GUAUCAUGGCUCAGGAUGAACGCUAGCUACAGGCUUAACACAUGCAAGUCGAGGGGAAACGACAUCGAAAGCUUGCUUUUGAUGGGCGUCGACCGGCGCACGGGUGAGUAACGCGUAUCCAACCUGCCCACCACUUGGGGAGUAACCUUGCGAAAGUAAGACUAAUACCCAAUGAUAUCUCUAGAAGACAUCUGAAAGAGAUUAAAGAUUCAUCGGUGAUGGAUGGGG
RNAcentral lists this ribosomal RNA (228 nucleotides) under uncultured bacterium. RNAcentral describes it as "partial 16S ribosomal RNA". It matches the Rfam family "Bacterial small subunit ribosomal RNA", at positions 14 to 230 of the family's 1533-position model. The record is from RNAcentral.